Molecule: ribosomal RNA, 303 nt
Filed under: uncultured Ehrlichia sp.
Lineage: Bacteria; Pseudomonadati; Pseudomonadota; Alphaproteobacteria; Rickettsiales; Anaplasmataceae
Description: bacterial SSU rRNA
Rfam family: Bacterial small subunit ribosomal RNA
Source: RNAcentral
AGUGGCAGACGGGUGAGUAAUGCGUAGGAAUCUACCUAGUAGUACGGAAUAGCCAUUAGAAAUGGUGGGUAAUACUGUAUAAUCCCCGAGGGGGAAAGAUUUAUCGCUAUUAGAUGAGCCUACGUUAGAUUAGCUAGUUGGUGAGGUAAUGGCUUACCAAGGCUAUGAUCUAUAGCUGGUCUGAGAGGACGAUCAGCCACACUGGAACUGAGAUACGGUCCAGACUCCUACGGGAGGCAGCAGUGGGGAAUAUUGGACAAUGGGCGAAAGCCUGAUCCAGCUAUGCCGCGUGAGUGAAGAAGG